This 1132-nucleotide ribosomal RNA is filed under the name Monascus pilosus. RNAcentral's name for it is "SSU rRNA". It matches the Rfam family "Eukaryotic small subunit ribosomal RNA", at positions 20 to 1162 of the family's 1831-position model. RNAcentral also lists the same sequence under 1 other name. The record is from RNAcentral. Lineage: Eukaryota; Fungi; Ascomycota; Eurotiomycetes; Eurotiales; Aspergillaceae.
GUAGUCAUAUGCUUGUCUCAAAGAUUAAGCCAUGCAUGUCUAAGUGUAAGCAAUUUAUACUGUGAAACUGCGAAUGGCUCAUUAAAUCAGUUAUCGUUUAUUUGAUAGUACCUUACUACAUGGAUACCUGUGGUAAUUCUAGAGCUAAUACAUGCUAAAAACCCCGACUUCGGAAGGGGUGUAUUUAUUAGAUAAAAAACCAACGCCCUUCGGGGCUCCUUGGUGAAUCAUAAUAACUAAACGAAUCGCAUGGCCUUGCGCCGGCGAUGGUUCAUUCAAAUUUCUGCCCUAUCAACUUUCGAUGGUAGGAUAGUGGCCUACCAUGGUGGCAACGGGUAACGGGGAAUUAGGGUUCGAUUCCGGAGAGGGAGCCUGAGAAACGGCUACCACAUCCAAGGAAGGCAGCAGGCGCGCAAAUUACCCAAUCCCGACACGGGGAGGUAGUGACAAUAAAUACUGAUACGGGGCUCUUUCGGGUCUCGUAAUCGGAAUGAGAACGACCUAAAUAACCUAACGAGGAACAAUUGGAGGGCAAGUCUGGUGCCAGCAGCCGCGGUAAUUCCAGCUCCAAUAGCGUAUAUUAAAGUUGUUGCAGUUAAAAAGCUCGUAGUUGAACCUUGGGUCUGGCUGGCCGGUCCGCCUCACCGCGAGUACUGGUCCGGCCGGACCUUUCCUUCUGGGGAACCUCAUGGCCUUCACUGGCUGUGGGGGGAACCAGGACUUUUACUGUGAAAAAAUUAGAGUGUUCAAAGCAGGCCUUUGCUCGAAUACAUUAGCAUGGAAUAAUAGAAUAGGACGUGCGGUUCUAUUUUGUUGGUUUCUAGGACCGCCGUAAUGAUUAAUAGGGAUAGUCGGGGGCGUCAGUAUUCAGCUGUCAGAGGUGAAAUUCUUGGAUUUGCUGAAGACUAACUACUGCGAAAGCAUUCGCCAAGGAUGUUUUCAUUAAUCAGGGAACGAAAGUUAGGGGAUCGAAGACGAUCAGAUACCGUCGUAGUCUUAACCAUAAACUAUGCCGACUAGGGAUCGGACGGGUUUCUAUGAUGACCCGUUCGGCACCUUACGAGAAAUCAAAGUUUUUGGGUUCUGGGGGGAGUAUGGUCGCAAGGCUGAAACUUAAAGGAAUUGACGGAAG